This 433-nucleotide ribosomal RNA is filed under the name uncultured bacterium. RNAcentral's name for it is "partial 16S ribosomal RNA". It matches the Rfam family "Bacterial small subunit ribosomal RNA", at positions 29 to 507 of the family's 1533-position model. The record is from RNAcentral.
AGCGAACGCUGGCGGCAGGCCUAACACAUGCAAGUCGAACGAACCUUUCGGGGUUAGUGGCGGACGGGUGAGUAACACGUGGGAACGUGCCUUUAGGUUCGGAAUAACUCAGGGAAACUUGUGCUAAUACCGAAUGUGCCCUUCGGGGGAAAGAUCUAUCGCCUUUAGAGCGGCCCGCGUCUGAUUAGCUAGUUGGUUGAGGUAAUGGCUCACCAAGGCGACGAUCAGUAGCUGGUCUGAGAAGAUGAUCAGCCACAUUGGGACUGAGACACGGCCCAAACUCCUACGGGAGGCAGCAGUGGGGAAUCUUGCGCAAUGGGCGAAAGCCUGACGCAGCCAUGCCGCGUGAAUGAUGAAGGUCUUAGAUUGUAAAAUUCUUUCACCGGGGACGAUAAUGACGGUACCCGGAGAAGAAGCCCCGGCUAACUUCGUG